UGGGCAAUCUGCCCUCGGAUGGGGGAUAACCCCGCGAAAGCGGGGCUAAUACCGCAUGACAUUCCGAAGACUCCGGUCUUUGGACUCAAAGGCCGCAAGGUCGUCUGAGGAGGAGCCCGCGCCCGAUUAGCUAGUUGGUGGGGUAACGGCUCACCAAGGCUUUGAUCGGUAGCCGGUCUGAGAGGAUGGCCGGCCACACUGGAACUGAGACACGGUCCAGACUCCUACGGGAGGCAGCAGUGGGGAAUAUUGCGCAAUGGGCGAAAGCCUGACGCAGCGACGCCGCGUGGGGGAUGAAGCUUCUCGGAGUGUAAACCCCUUUCGACCCGGACGAAUGACCCGCAAGGGUUUGACGGUACGGGUAUAAGAAGCCCCGGCUAACUACGUGCCAGCAGCCGCGGUAAUACGUAGGGGGCCAGCGUUGCUCGGAAUUACUGGGCGUAAAGGGUUCGUAGGUGGUGCGGCAAGUUGGAAGUGAAAUCUCUGGGCUUAACCCAGAGGCUGCUUUCAACACUGCCGUGCUCGAGUGCGAGAGAGGCCAGUGGAAUUGCAGGUGUAGCGGUGAAAUGCGUAGAUAUCUGCAGGAACACCCGUGGCGAAGGCGGCUGGCUGGAUCGCAACUGACACUGAGGAACGAAAGCUAGGGGAGCAAACAGGAUUAGAUACCCUGGUAGUCCUAGCCCUAAACCAUCAGAACUUGGGGUGGCCCGCGUAGGCGGGUCGUCCCGUAGCUAACGCGUUAAGUUCUGCGCCUGGGGAGUACGGUCGCAAGACUGAAACUCAAAGGAAUUGAC
Molecule: ribosomal RNA, 794 nt
Filed under: uncultured Bacillota bacterium
Lineage: Bacteria; Bacillati; Bacillota
Description: bacterial SSU rRNA
Rfam family: Bacterial small subunit ribosomal RNA
Source: RNAcentral